Molecule: ribosomal RNA, 942 nt
Filed under: Triticum aestivum (bread wheat)
Lineage: Eukaryota; Viridiplantae; Streptophyta; Magnoliopsida; Poales; Poaceae
Description: partial small subunit ribosomal RNA
Source: RNAcentral
AUGCAGCGGCGCGGCACGAGCAGUUCGCUCCGGGAAUGGUGGGCUGCCCGCCUGCCCGCCCCAAUACUGUAUCUGAAUGGGAGUAUCUUGGACGGACGGCCGGAUGCCGAGGCGGUCGGUGCAGGUACGGUACGGCGCGGCCGGAUAGAGUAUACCCCCGCGAAGCUUCGCUGCUCCCUCCUUCCUUCCCCUCCAGGGCUCCAGCUACGAGGAGGAGCUGAGCCACCGCUGCGCGCACGUGCGCGCCUGCGCGCCCAUCUGUCGCUCACGCGCUCGCCUGACAGGCAGGAAAUCCAAGCGACGACGAACUUGCGCACGCACCGGCAGACCCAGCGAACGGGCGGACGCGCUUGUUCACCCGAACCACUGACCGUACAGCGCAUCGUACCGUUGCGGAGGCGUGGAUCAGCAGUGGAUGGGGGCAACCAGCAAGGUCCGUCGGCAACCGAGUUGAUCUUUCUUUAUUUUCGGAACAUGGAGGCUACACCCACGGGCACGCACCGGUCCGUCGUCUCGUCGUGCGACGCACGACGUCGCGGGGGAGACGUGCGGCCCAACACGUACGGGGAAGAAACAACAGGCCCCACUCCCCAUAGAUCCGCUGCUCCCCGCCGGCGCGCCCGGGAUCUUCCUCGGUCCCGCGAGGCAUGCGACGUACGCCCGACGCCACCGUGCAGCGGCGCAAAGUUCCCGCGCCCGGUCCAGGACACCCCCGGCAGCGGCGCCAACUUGCUCCGCUGGGGUUGGAGCGCCGGAGUGCAGCGGCCUCGGCUCCCGGGCGGCGGCGGAUUUGGGCGGUUCGACGAGGGGAUUUGGAAUGUUGGGUGCGCCUCAUUUGGUCACCGUGCCGUGAAGAGCUGGCGCUGGGUAGCUUCCGGACGCCCAACGUUUUUUACAGGCUUCCCUCGGAUCUAUCACACCUCACGCGGUGGCUUCCCAUAG